Long non-coding RNA from Dasypus novemcinctus (nine-banded armadillo), 1755 nucleotides. NCBI's taxonomy places the organism in Eukaryota, Metazoa, Chordata, Mammalia, Cingulata, Dasypodidae. The record is from Ensembl.
ACCUGUGGUCUGAUACGGCCUCGAGAACCACCCAGGCACCGGCGCCCCGGAGGACGGGGCAGAGCCACGCAGGCCCCGCUUCCCGCGCUGUGCGACACCUCUGAGCACCUGCGCCCCCCGAGCGGCUCCAGGGGACGAGAGCCCUGUGUGGCCCCAUCUGGGGUUUGUGACGUCCCCUCGCCCAGCAGGGCCCCCCCCCAGGCCUUGGUCAGGGGCCCCCUGGGGUUUGCUGUUUGGCCUGAGCCCUCCUGAGAUGGGCUGUCAGGGGCAGAAGUCCAGAGUGGAGAUGACCCCACGCCCCCAGAGCUUGCCCCCUGCUGGGCUUCGGGCCAUCAUGCCAACUCACCGCAGCACCGGGCAAGCCCUUGCCCCCUACAAGCCUCCCCCGGGGGCCCGUCACCCCGGGACUCCCGGCAGCAGAUAAGACAUCUCGUCCAAAUCCCAGCCAGACGGACGCUCCUGCAGGAACUAUGAGACCCAAAACUGCACCAGAAAGACACAGACAGCUCCUGGCUUUCAGAGCCACCUCCGGCGCCGCACCACUCACCCUCCGUCCGAAUGUGCAAGCUCAUUGUUUGGAAGGUGCCCUACAGCACAGGCUGGUGUUUUCCGUGGCUUCGUUUGGGCCCCGUGCUAAAGGAGCUGCCUUCUUUGGGCCAUCUUGGUCCCUCAGGAGCAGACGACUCCCCCAGAGAGGCUACCACCCCCAAUCGCACGGCAGAGUGCUAACCAUGGGCCAGCUCGUCCCUGCCGUGCUCCCUGCCCCUCGCUGGCUUCCUGACCCUGGGAAUGGCUGGAAGGCACCACUUCCCUUGACUUCUCCCUCAUCUUCAACGUCUGGUCACUCCCAGGACACAUCGGGCAUAUCCCUAAAAGUUUGUCAGACUCAUCAUCAUUUGAUUAAGCGUCUUUUCCUGUGCAAAGUCUUUGACAGUUUGUGGAAAAGCCCAAAAGCCCCAGCUUGGUGAUUGUUGGAGGCUGGCUCAACGCAUGUGGUCCCGCCCCCUGCGAGCCCCCCUGCAUACCCUCUGGGCUUGGGCCGUGGAGCAGCCCACCCGGCUAAAGCCGAAUGCUCUGUCCUUGCCCAUCUCCAAAGCCUCCCCCAGGAAGCUGCCAGACUCCCCGCCCUCCCCAUCCAGAGGUGCGUCAACCUGGGACCGGGCUCAAGGCUCUCUCCCCGUUUGGGUGGGAACCCCUGGAGGGCAGAACCAUCCCUGUCCAGUGUCAGCACCGCAGAAGGCAUCUGGUAAGAGUUUGUCCCCUUGGUAGACAGAGAGUGCACGAAGGCUGCACAGACACUUUGACACAUGUACAAACGCGAACGGCCUCCUACAGACAAGCACACAAACACAGCCCUACCACUCCUGGGCAAGCAGGGACAUAGUUACCUUCACAGACACAGUGCUCAAACUGGAACUCAGACACGUGUACAAGUGUGCACAUGGACCCACGGGCAAGCGUGCAGACACGCAAGCAGGCCAAAGGCUCAUGGGCACACACAUAUACAUGCACAAGCGUGCACACAGGUGCAUGGGCAAGCGUGCAGGUGGGCUCAAAGGUUCAUGGGCACACACAUGUGUGCACAAACAUGCACACAGACACACAUGUGCACACACAGGGACCAAGGGCUUACGCCUACAUGCGCGUGGGGCACUGCAGGACUCCUCUGGGGCCCUGCGUGGGCUUUGGGGCUGGGCAGUCAAGUGCGCCCUGAGGUCUGAGCCUGGAAAUGAAAAUGUGCCUGUGGGUGGGAAG